This 484-nucleotide ribosomal RNA is filed under the name uncultured bacterium. Its description in RNAcentral is "partial 16S ribosomal RNA". It matches the Rfam family "Bacterial small subunit ribosomal RNA", at positions 30 to 507 of the family's 1533-position model. The record is from RNAcentral.
AUUGAACGCUGGCGGCAGGCCUAACACAUGCAAGUCGAGCGGAUGAAGGGAGCUUGCUCCUGGAUUCAGCGGCGGACGGGUGAGUAAUGCCUAGGAAUCUGCCUGGUAGUGGGGGAUAACGUCCGGAAACGGGCGCUAAUACCGCAUACGUCCUGAGGGAGAAAGUGGGGGAUCUUCGGACCUCACGCUAUCAGAUGAGCCUAGGUCGGAUUAGCUAGUUGGUGGGGUAAAGGCCUACCAAAGCGACGAUCCGUAACUGGUCUGAGAGGAUGAUCAGUCACACUGGAACUGAGACACGGUCCAGACUCCUACGGGAGGCAGCAGUGGGGAAUAUUGGACAAUGGGCGAAAGCCUGAUCCAGCCAUGCCGCGUGUGUGAAGAAGGUCUUCGGAUUGUAAAGCACUUUAAGUUGGGAGGAAGAGCAGUAAGUUAAUACCUUGCUGUUUUGACGUUACCAACAGAAUAAGCACCGGCUAACUUCGUG